This 77-nucleotide small RNA is filed under the name Flavobacterium aquidurense. RNAcentral describes it as "Flavo-1 RNA". It matches the Rfam family "Flavo-1 RNA". The record is from RNAcentral. Lineage: Bacteria; Pseudomonadati; Bacteroidota; Flavobacteriia; Flavobacteriales; Flavobacteriaceae.
AAUUAGCCCCGAUUGAAGUGGAAAUCCUUUUGUCCACCCCGGCGGACAAAAGAUUGCAACGAAAAGCGGGAACGAUG